GCAUCCAGCCGUCCCUCAUCAGAUUCUCACACCUGCUGCAUCUCUGCUGUUUACAUUAUAAACAUGUUUAUAACAUAUUUAUGUAUUAAUGUAUGGAAUAGGACACAUUUAUCGGCCAACUGAUUUCUCCACCAGUGGAUUUCUGGGAGCCGAUUUCCUUCAUUUUGGAGGAUCGUGAUCGGCUGAUGGAGCUGAUCUCAUCCCCUGAUCUCAUCAGCAAAGGUUUCAGCAUCAGCCUCUGUCCUUCUGCUCUGCAGUCAGAGGUCAGACUGACUGACCCACCAGGUCUGAACGGGUCAGAGGUCAGACUGACUGACCCACCAGGUCUGAACUCAGUGACCUUCUGCUGCAUUUAGCAACAUUUCAGCCAAAACCAGCAGCUCAGGCUUUUUAAAUAUCGGUAACCAGGAAGCUGCAAUCGGUGCAGCUUCACACAUUCAUGACUCUCUGGUUAAAUUCUCUAAACUCCAAUAGAUUAAGAUGUAAUUUACACCAGGUGAGUCUUUCUGCCCUGCAGGUGGACGGAGGCUGACUGGAUAAAUGAGCCACUUUUUAUUCCUCAUCAGUGGGUCACAUGACAUGUAGGCUAUUAAACACCAAUCAUUUUUAUAUGCAAAUUUAAAUUACUUUAAAAUGCAAAGAUGUGUAGAAUGGGUGGCCUGAUCCCUCCCAGUAGAACCAUUUCAUACUGGUUUUGAGUCCACAGGUCACAUGACUAUUGAAGAAAACAUUUAAUAUUAAAACUGUUUAUUAUUGAA
This is a non-coding RNA of Poecilia reticulata (guppy), 758 nucleotides long. NCBI's taxonomy places the organism in Eukaryota, Metazoa, Chordata, Actinopteri, Cyprinodontiformes, Poeciliidae. The record is from RefSeq and is a predicted model, not a curated record.